AUUGAACGCUGGCGGCAGGCCUAACACAUGCAAGUCGAACGGUAACAGGAAACAGCUUGCUGUUUCGCUGACGAGUGGCGGACGGGUGAGUAAUGUCUGGGAAACUGCCUGAUGGAGGGGGAUAACUACUGGAAACGGUAGCUAAUACCGCAUAACGUCGCAAGACCAAAGAGGGGGACCCUCGGGCCUCUUGCCAUCGGAUGUGCCCAGAUGGGAUUAGCUUGUUGGUGGGGUAACGGCUCACCAAGGCGACGAUCCCUAGCUGGUCUGAGAGGAUGACCAGCCACACUGGAACUGAGACACGGUCCAGACUCCUACGGGAGGCAGCAGUGGGGAAUAUUGCACAAUGGGCGCAAGCCUGAUGCAGCCAUGCCGCGUGUAUGAAGAAGGCCUUCGGGUUGUAAAGUACUUUCAGCGGGGAGGAAGGGAGUAAAGUUAAUACCUUUGCUCAUUGACGUUACCCGCAGAAGAAGCACCGGCUAACUCCGUGCCAGCAGCCGCGGUAAUACGGAGGGUGCAAGCGUUAAUCGGAAUUACUGGGCGUAAAGCGCACGCAGGCGGUUUGUUAAGUCAGAUGUGAAAUCCCCGGGCUCAACCUGGGAACUGCAUCUGAUACUGGCAAGCUUGAGUCUCGUAGAGGGGGGUAGAAUUCCAGGUGUAGCGGUGAAAUGCGUAGAGAUCUGGAGGAAUACCGGUGGCGAAGGCGGCCCCCUGGACGAAGACUGACGCUCAGGUGCGAAAGCGUGGGGAGCAAACAGGAUUAGAUACCCUGGUAGUCCACGCCGUAAACGAUGUCGACUUGGAGGUUGUGCCCUUGAGGCGUGGCUUCCGGAGCUAACGCGUUAAGUCGACCGCCUGGGGAGUACGGCCGCAAGGUUAAAACUCAAAUGAAUUGACGGGGGCCCGCACAAGCGGUGGAGCAUGUGGUUUAAUUCGAUGCAACGCGAAGAACCUUACCUGGUCUUGACAUCCACGGAAGUUUUCAGAGAUGAGAAUGUGCCUUCGGGAACCGUGAGACAGGUGCUGCAUGGCUGUCGUCAGCUCGUGUUGUGAAAUGUUGGGUUAAGUCCCGCAACGAGCGCAACCCUUAUCCUUUGUUGCCAGCGGUCCGGCCGGGAACUCAAAGGAGACUGCCAGUGAUAAACUGGAGGAAGAUGGGGAUGACGUCAAGUCAUCAUGGCCCUUACGACCAGGGCUACACACGUGCUACAAUGGCGCAUACAAAGAGAAGCGACCUCGCGAGAGCAAGCGGACCUCAUAAAGUGCGUCGUAGUCCGGAUUGGAGUCUGCAACUCGACUCCAUGAAGUCGGAAUCGCUAGUAAUCGUGGAUCAGAAUGCCACGGUGAAUACGUUCCCGGGCCU
This 1363-nucleotide ribosomal RNA is filed under the name uncultured bacterium. Its description in RNAcentral is "bacterial SSU rRNA". It matches the Rfam family "Bacterial small subunit ribosomal RNA", at positions 28 to 1381 of the family's 1533-position model. The record is from RNAcentral.